CGCAAGCCUGACGGAGCAAGCCCGCGUGCGGGAUCGCGGCCUAAUGGUUGUACCCCGCUUUUCUCUGGGAAGAUGAUGACGGUACCAGAGGAAUCAGCCUCGGCUAACUCCGUGCCAGCAGCCGCGGUAAUACGGAGGAGGCAAGCGUUAUCCGGAAUUAUUGGGCGUAAAGCGUCCGUAGGUGGCUAUUCAAGUCUGCUGUCAAAGCGUGGGGCUUAACUCCAUAUAGGCAGUGGAAACUGAAUGNCUNGAGUGCGGUAGGGGUCGAGGGAAUUCCCAGUGUAGCGGUGAAAUGCGUAGAUAUUGGGAAGAACACCAGUGGCGAAAGCGCUCGACUGGGCCUGCACUGACACUGAGGGACGAAAGCUAGGGGAGCG
This 377-nucleotide ribosomal RNA is filed under the name uncultured cyanobacterium. RNAcentral's name for it is "bacterial SSU rRNA". It matches the Rfam family "Bacterial small subunit ribosomal RNA", at positions 376 to 770 of the family's 1533-position model. The record is from RNAcentral. Lineage: Bacteria; Bacillati; Cyanobacteriota.